RNAcentral lists this long non-coding RNA (645 nucleotides) under Homo sapiens (human). RNAcentral's name for it is "HSALNT0376983". The record is from RNAcentral. Lineage: Eukaryota; Metazoa; Chordata; Mammalia; Primates; Hominidae.
AGCAGUCCCAUAAGCUACAUUUUUCUGCCUCCCUUGCAGUAAUGUAUCACCAUAUAGCUGAGUUCUUUUCUCCCACAUGCUGCUGUUCAUCCCCUUUCCCCAUCUGCAAGCUGGAUGUGGAGGACUCUGAGGUCUUAGAAAAUGAUGAAGAAAUAUAUGAAAGGACCGUGGACCCCAGAAUGACCACGUGGAAUGUUUACUGGUGACCAGGAAUACACAUUUUGAACAUAGGCCUUGGAACUUGCAUUGAAAUACACCAGUGGCUUUCCUCAUUCUCCAGUGUGUCAGUAUAUUGGACUUCUCAGACUCCAUGAUUACAAAGGCAGAAGAAGCUCUCCAGAUGUCUUCCAGUAACGUUGAAGUUUUUAUCAGAAUGUUGCAAGGAAACACCAAUUGGGUCACCUGGGAUGACCUUCAAUGACCUGAAGACAUUUACUGAAGGAGCUGUGUUAAGUUUUUUAACAUCUUCUAUUGAGUAAAAGUGAAAAGCAGCUUUUUACUUGGUUGAAACCAAUUGAGAAAGAAAUUCUAUCAAAUAUCAAGUAUGUGCAUGAACUUUUAAAAAGACAAUUUUAUUGACCUAUAUUGAACUUCAUAAGUUUUGCCUAUUAACAAUAAAGCUACUGUGAGCAUUUUUGUACAAGU